This 74-nucleotide transfer RNA is filed under the name Candidatus Acetothermia bacterium. RNAcentral describes it as "tRNA-Gly". It matches the Rfam family "tRNA". From Rfam's summary of the family: Transfer RNA (tRNA) molecules are approximately 80 nucleotides in length. Their secondary structure includes four short double-helical elements and three loops (D, anti-codon, and T loops). Lineage: Bacteria; Candidatus Bipolaricaulota. The record is from RNAcentral.
GCGGGUAUAGCUCAGUGGUAGAGCACUGGCCUUCCAAGCCAGCGGCACGGGUUCGAUUCCCGUUACCCGCUCCA